Molecule: ribosomal RNA, 253 nt
Filed under: uncultured bacterium
Lineage: Bacteria
Description: partial 16S ribosomal RNA
Rfam family: Bacterial small subunit ribosomal RNA
Source: RNAcentral
UACAGAGGUCUCAAGCGUUGUUCGGAUUCAUUGGGCGUAAAGGGUGCGUAGGCGGCGCGGUAAGUCGGGUGUGAAAUCUCGGAGCUUAACUCCGAAACUGCAUUCGAUACUGCCGUGCUUGAGGACUGGAGAGGAGACUGGAAUUUACGGUGUAGCGGUGAAAUGCGUUAGAUAUCGUGAGGAAGACCAGUGGCGAAGGCGGGUCUCUGGACAGUUCCUGACGUGAGGCACGAAGGUCAGGGGAGCAAACGGG